Long non-coding RNA from Zophobas morio, 627 nucleotides. RefSeq lists it as uncharacterized. Lineage: Eukaryota; Metazoa; Arthropoda; Insecta; Coleoptera; Tenebrionidae. The record is from RefSeq and is a predicted model, not a curated record. The transcript is spliced from 3 exons.
CACAUGAAUCGUUAUCUCUUCAAGUUUUAUCAUUAUCAUAAUGGAAGGUAAUUUCCACCUACUGUUCACUAUACAAUGGGUACGUAGAGUGAAAACACAGUAGUUGCGAUUGUAAUAUCAUACUAACAAAAACAAAACAGUAACUUAGCGCUACAUGCUGUUAAAGAUGUUUAUAGAAAAAAUAGUGAACACAGCCUAUUACGCUACAGUGUUCGCAUAUUUUAUAAAAUUUGUGUAUGCAGCUAGUUACUACGUGAAGCAAUUUUAUACCAGCAGAAGCAAAGGUAACAAGAAAAAAAAGAAAAAAUGAAGCAAUACAUAAGGAAAUGCAUUUAUUAUACUAAAAUCGAAAGGAUAAAAAAUAUAUGAUAUUAUAACAUUUUCUUGCGAGCGUAUAAAUAUAAUAAGAGACUCACUGUUACAAAUACUGUAGAAUUUCAAGACUUACACCAGAAACUAACUACGUACACAUACGCCAUUAAAAGGGCCGCGACAAAGUGGUAACCACCAUAGACAGUAAAUUGUUGUUGUACCGUUAAAUAAAUUCCAUUAUUGUUAAUAACACAAGCAAAUACUAGAUUUAGAAUAGAGUAGAUUAAACCAAUAAAACUAAAAACUGUUCCAAAA